RNAcentral lists this ribosomal RNA (430 nucleotides) under uncultured Rhodobacter sp. RNAcentral's name for it is "bacterial SSU rRNA". It matches the Rfam family "Bacterial small subunit ribosomal RNA", at positions 8 to 482 of the family's 1533-position model. Lineage: Bacteria; Pseudomonadati; Pseudomonadota; Alphaproteobacteria; Rhodobacterales. The record is from RNAcentral.
AGAGUUUGAUCAUGGCUCAGAAUGAACGCUGGCGGCAGGCCUAACACAUGCAAGUCGAGCGGGCACCUUCGGGUGCUAGCGGCGGACGGGUGAGUAACGCGUGGGAACAUACCCUUUGGUACGGAAUAGCCUCGGGAAACUGAGAGUAAUACCGUAUGUGGUCGUAAGACGAAAGAUUUAUCGCCAGAGGAUUGGCCCGCGUUGGAUUAGGUAGUUGGUGGGGUAAUGGCCUACCAAGCCGACGAUCCAUAGCUGGUUUGAGAGGAUGAUCAGCCACACUGGGACUGAGACACGGCCCAGACUCCUACGGGAGGCAGCAGUGGGGAAUCUUAGACAAUGGGCGCAAGCCUGAUCUAGCCAUGCCGCGUGAUCGAUGAAGGCCUUAGGGUUGUAAAGAUCUUUCAGUGGGGAAGAUAAUGACGGUACCCAC